This 1623-nucleotide ribosomal RNA is filed under the name human oral metagenome. Its description in RNAcentral is "bacterial LSU rRNA". It matches the Rfam family "Bacterial large subunit ribosomal RNA", at positions 404 to 2004 of the family's 2925-position model. The record is from RNAcentral.
UUGCCCGAGUAGCACGGGGCUCGUGGAAUCCUGUGUGAAUCUGCCAAGACCACUUGGCUGCCUGAAUACCUCCUGAUGACCGAUAGUGGAUAGUACCGUGAGGGAAUGGUGAAAAGUACCCCGGGAGGGGAGUGAAAUAGUACCUGAAACCGGGCGCUUACAAGCCGUCAGAGCCUUCCGCACCUUGUGUGUGGGGGUGGUGGCGUGCCUUUUGAAGAAUGAGCCUGCGAGUCAGUGGCGUGUCGCGAGGUUAACCCGUGUGGGGUAGCCGUAGCGAGAGCGAGUCCGAAUAGGGCGAUGUGUAGUGGCGCGUUCUGGACCCGAAGCGGGGUGAUCUACCCAUGGCCAGGUUGAAGCACGUGUAAGAGCGUGUGGAGGACCGAACCCACCUAGGUUGAAAACUGGGGGGAUGAGCUGUGGGUAGGGGUGAAAGGCCAAUCAAACUCCGUGAUAGCUGGUUCUCCCCGAAAUGCAUUUAGGUGCAGCGUCGCGUGUUGCCCGGCGGAGGUAGAGCUACUGGGUGGCUGAUGGGCCCCACAGGGUUACUGACGUCAACCAAACUCCGAAUGCCGUCGGGUCUAGCGUGGCAGUGAGACCGCGGGGGAUAAGCUCCGUGGUCGAGAGGGAAACAGCCCAGAUCGCCGGCUAAGGCCCCUAAGCGUGUGCUAAGUGGGAAAGGAUGUGCGGUCGCGCAGACAACCAGGAGGUUGGCUUAGAAGCAGCCAUCCUUGAAAGAGUGCGUAAUAGCUCACUGGUCAAGUGAUCGUGCGCCGACAAUGUAGCGGGGCUCAAGGAAUGACCAAGGGUUCCAGGGCCAGGCUAGUCCGCCCUGGGUGAGUCGGGACCUAAGGCGAGGCCGACAGGCGUAGUCGAUGGAUGACGGGUUGAUAUUCCCGUACCGGCGAAGCACCGCCCAUGCUGACGCGCGGGUGCUAACCCACGCCCAGCCACCAAGUUCAGCCGCGCCUACUCCUUUCGGGGGGUGGUGUGGUUGUGGUGGUGGGGUCUGGGGACCCUCCGUGCAGGUAGGCAAGCGUGUUAACAGGGGUGACGCACAGUGGUAGCCCGGCGGACCUGAUGGCUUGGUCCGUUCAAGCGCGCAGCCCGUCCUCCAGGUAAAUCCGGAGUGACUGUCUUUGAUGACGGGGGUGAGGCGUGAUGGUGACCCCACGCUGGUGGGGGAUAACAGGGUGAUCCUGGGGUGCCGAGAAAAGCCUCGACGCGAUGGUGCCAGCCGCCCGUACCCUAAACCGACACAGGUGGUCGGGCAGAGUAUGCCUAGGCGCACGAGUGAAUCAUGGUUAAGGAACUCGGCAAAAUGCCCCCGUAACUUCGGGAGAAGGGGGGCCCUAUCCUUUGAAGCCCCGUUUUGCGGGCUAGGGGGGUGGGCCGCAGAGACCAGGGGGAAGCGACUGUUUACUAAAAACACAGGUCCGUGCGAAGCCGUAAGGCGAUGUAUACGGACUGACGCCUGCCCGGUGCUGGAAGGUUAAGAGGAACCAUCAACCCCCUCGGGGGUGAAGUGGUGAAUUUAAGCCCCAGUAAACGGCGGUGGUAACUAUAACCAUCCUAAGGUAGCGAAAUUCCUUGUCGGGUAAGUUCCGACCUGCACGAAUGGCGUAA